RNAcentral lists this ribosomal RNA (593 nucleotides) under uncultured Bacteroidota bacterium. RNAcentral describes it as "SSU rRNA". It matches the Rfam family "Bacterial small subunit ribosomal RNA", at positions 322 to 915 of the family's 1533-position model. Lineage: Bacteria; Pseudomonadati; Bacteroidota. The record is from RNAcentral.
GGACACGGACCAGACUCCUACGGGAGGCAGCAGUAAGGAAUAUUGGUCAAUGGGCGCAAGCCUGAACCAGCCAUGCCGCGUGCAGGAAGACGGCCCUACGGGUUGUAAACUGCUUUUAUACGGGAAUAAACCUCUCUACGUGUAGAGAGUUGAAUGUACUGUAAGAAUAAGGAUCGGCUAACUCCGUGCCAGCAGCCGCGGUAAUACGGAGGAUCCAAGCGUUAUCCGGAUUUAUUGGGUUUAAAGGGUGCGUAGGCGGCCUAUUAAGUCAGGGGUGAAAGACGGUAGCUUAACUAUCGCAGUGCCUUUGAUACUGAUGGGCUUGAAUAUACUUGAGGUAGGCGGAAUGUGACAAGUAGCGGUGAAAUGCAUAGAUAUGUCACAGAACACCAAUUGCGAAGGCAGCUUACUAAAGUAUGAUUGACGCUGAGGCACGAAAGCGUGGGGAUCAAACAGGAUUAGAUACCCUGGUAGUCCACGCCCUAAACGAUGAACACUCGAUGUUGGCGAUAUACGGUCAGCGUCUAAGCGAAAGCGUUAAGUGUUCCACCUGGGGAGUACGCCCGCAAGGGUGAAACUCAAAGGAAUUGACG